Molecule: ribosomal RNA, 751 nt
Filed under: uncultured Streptococcus sp.
Lineage: Bacteria; Bacillati; Bacillota; Bacilli; Lactobacillales; Streptococcaceae
Description: bacterial SSU rRNA
Rfam family: Bacterial small subunit ribosomal RNA
Source: RNAcentral
GACGAACGCUGGCGGCGUGCCUAAUACAUGCAAGUAGAACGCUGAAGGAGGAGCUUGCUUCUCUGGAUGAGUUGCGAACGGGUGAGUAACGCGUAGGUAACCUGCCUGGUAGCGGGGGAUAACUAUUGGAAACGAUAGCUAAUACCGCAUAAUAGUAGAUGUUGCAUGACAUUUGCUUGAAAGGUGCAAUUGCAUCACUACCAGAUGGACCUGCGUUGUAUUAGCUAGUUGGUGGGGUAACGGCUCACCAAGGCGACGAUACAUAGCCGACCUGAGAGGGUGAUCGGCCACACUGGGACUGAGACACGGCCCAGACUCCUACGGGAGGCAGCAGUAGGGAAUCUUCGGCAAUGGACGGAAGUCUGACCGAGCAACGCCGCGUGAGUGAAGAAGGUUUUCGGAUCGUAAAGCUCUGUUGUAAGAGAAGAACGAGUGUGAGAGUGGAAAGUUCACACUGUGACGGUAUCUUACCAGAAAGGGACGGCUAACUACGUGCCAGCAGCCGCGGUAAUACGUAGGUCCCGAGCGUUGUCCGGAUUUAUUGGGCGUAAAGCGAGCGCAGGCGGUUAGAUUAAUUCUGAUGUUUAAGGCUGUGGCUUAACCAUAGUACGCUGUGGGAAACUGUUUAACUUUGAGUGGAAGAGGGGAGAGUGUAAUUCCAUGUGUAGCGGGGAUAUGGCGUUGAUAUAUUGAGGAACUGCUAGUGGGUAAAUCGGUGCUCUUGUGUGGAUCUGACGCUUGGGUUCCGAUG